This 49-nucleotide transfer RNA is filed under the name Diadema setosum. Its description in RNAcentral is "partial tRNA-Lys". Lineage: Eukaryota; Metazoa; Echinodermata; Echinoidea; Diadematoida; Diadematidae. The record is from RNAcentral.
CUUUAAACUCUUAAUUUAAAAGAAGGUAGUUAAAUUCUACUAUUAAGGG